Molecule: ribosomal RNA, 301 nt
Filed under: uncultured bacterium
Lineage: Bacteria
Description: bacterial SSU rRNA
Rfam family: Bacterial small subunit ribosomal RNA
Source: RNAcentral
CAGCAGCCGCGGUAAUACGGAGGGUGCAAGCGUUAUCCGGAUUCACUGGGUUUAAAGGGUGCGUAGGAGGGCAGGGAAGUCAGUGGUGAAAUCUCCGGGCUUAACUCGGAAACUGCCGUUGAUACUCUCUGUCUUGAAUACCGUGGAGAUGAGCGGAAUAUGUCAUGUAGCGGUGAAAUGCUUAGAGAUGACAUAGAACACCAAUUGCGAAGGCAGCUCGUUACACGCAUAUUGACUCUGAGGCACGAAAGCGUGGGGAUCAAACAGGAUUAGAUACCCUGGUAGUCCACGCCCUAAACGA